CGCCACACCCCACCACGCCCCACACAGCUUCACACCCUGUGUCUCAGCUCCUGAAAGUCAAUGACAUCCUGCCCCCUGUGCCAGGCCCAACAGGGCACAGAAAUGUGUCUUUGAGAGUUUGGUGCCUCAGGGGAAGUUACAUGUUCUCAUUCCAUUGUCAUCACCAGAGGAGACCAGAACCCCAAAGAGAGUGGCUACAGCAUCCCCAGAAACUUCUAGAAAGCUUUAGCAAGGAUCCCAAGGCUUCCACGUUCAACACUUAUGGAGGUAGGGAGAGGGUCCUAACCCAGAAGUUGGGCUUUCAAUUUCAAUCUCUUUCUCCUCAAAGCACUCAAAGCACCAGAAACUGCAUCUAGUAGGUUCUCAAACACACCCCAGCCCCAUCUCUCCUUACAGGCCCCCAAGCGUCAAGGACAGAUAUGCAGGAUUCCACAGAAUGGAUCAGAUGCAGAUGCUCAGACAUAAGGAACUGAAGAUAGGGAUGAGCCUGCGCAGGGUCUGGUCCAUCACAGGAGCGUCCGAUCAGACCCAACCUCUCUGUAGUCCCUAAGUGGGUGCCUGACAGCAGUCCCGCAGCUCCUCGCCUCGGCCUCCUCAAUGGAGCUUUUAAAAAGCUGGCCACCAUCCUCGGAGGGUCAACCACUUCUCUGGGGACACUUUGUCCCCGCCCUGUCCAGGCUCCCACAGACCCUCAGGCCUGUGUCCCAACCCUGCCACCCUCCUGGGACCCCUAUCUUCCUCCCUCUGCGUCGCCUCGUCAGCUGGAGUCCAGCUGGCAAGCAGGCUGUGCUGUGGGUCUGGCCAAGGCUUGAAGGAGGAGGAAUUUCUUCUCCACAUCCCGCUCUUGUUCACACAACCCAGAGACCUGGAUUCAGAAUGCAGGCCAGGGAGGAGAUUCCAGAGUCCGGAUCCAGGUGGAAUGGAGGCCACAUUCAAAGAGCGGGGGGUGGAGGGGGGCUGCUCUCCUCCCCACUCCACCCCCACAUAGAAGCAAGAAAAGAACGGAAAACUUCCCAGAGGCAUCCAGCAAAGGUGUCAAGGAAACAAGAGAGCAGGUCACAGCCACCAGCUCCCUGGGGACAGGCUCCGAACACAGGUCUCUGACCCGUGAGAGGCAGGAAGUUCCUCCUGAUACCUAACCUCCAUCCCCACUGGCAAAUUCCAGACCGUUUUCCUCUUGGACUGCCCUGCCUGGGGAAGAACAGCUGGGUCCCUCUCUGCACAAUAAAUGCCUUCAGACCCUGGCGACUCA
RNAcentral lists this long non-coding RNA (1252 nucleotides) under Sus scrofa (pig). RNAcentral's name for it is "lncRNA (ENSSSCG00035075237.1)". The record is from RNAcentral. Lineage: Eukaryota; Metazoa; Chordata; Mammalia; Artiodactyla; Suidae.